GACGAACGCUGGCGGCGUGCUUAACACAUGCAAGUCGAACGGAGUUUAAAAUGAAACCUAGUGAUUUGUAAACUUAGUGGCGGACGGGUGAGUAACGCGUGGAUAACCUGCCGGAUAGACCGGGAUAACAGUUGGAAACGACUGCUAAUACCGGAUACGCUCCUAGGAACGCAUGUUCUAAGGAGGAAAGAUUUAUCGCUAACCGAUGGAUCCGCGUCCCAUUAGCUAGUUGGAGGUGUAACGGACCCCCAAGGCGACGAUGGGUAGCCGGCCUGAGAGGGCGAACGGCCACACUGGGACUGAGACACGGCCCAGACUCCUACGGGAGGCAGCAGUGGGGAAUCUUCCGCAAUGGGCGAAAGCCUGACGGAGCAACGCCGCGUGAGGGAAGAAGGCUUUCGGGUUGUAAACCUCUGUCUUAAGGGAAGAACAAAAUGACGGUACCUUGAGAGGAAGCCCCGGCUAACUACGUGCCAGCAGCCGCGGUAAAACGUAGGGGGCGAGCGUUGUCCGGAAUUACUGGGCGUAAAGGGCGCGUAGGUGGUGCAUUAAGUUAGAGGUGAAAGUGCGGGG
This 573-nucleotide ribosomal RNA is filed under the name Desulforamulus ruminis. RNAcentral's name for it is "bacterial SSU rRNA". It matches the Rfam family "Bacterial small subunit ribosomal RNA", at positions 28 to 607 of the family's 1533-position model. The record is from RNAcentral. Lineage: Bacteria; Bacillati; Bacillota; Clostridia; Eubacteriales; Peptococcaceae.